UGUCCUCAAUAGAUAGUGGGAAAAGGUUUUCAAACCACGGACUCAUUUCCUGUUUCCUUUUCAAACCUUGGAUUCGUGAAAGCCAAUUGUUUUGUGUGCGUGUGUGCGCAGGUGUGUGUGUGUGUGUGUUUUCCAGAGCCAUUUUGUUACCAUUGUUUUUUUAGAAUUGAAUGUCAGAGCGAUUACUGCCAGAUUACUGUCCAGAGGGACAGCGGCUUGGAUUUGUCUGACCCAAAACACGGCAAGGUGGACACUGACAGUGCACCCCUGACACGUGGGCGGAAACCAGUAGACACAGCCCUUCUUGUGACUUCUUAUCAGGGCAACGUGACAAGAACUUCAACCUCGAUGAUAUUUGGCUGAAAGCCAGAGGAAAAACCUGUCGCAUUAGACGUCCGGGUAAUUGACCAUCUCCAGUAGUCACACGGUUAGUGCGUCCCUCUCGUUUGCCGAGCGCCGCUCAGCCCAUCCGCCCACACACCGUCGCUUCAUGGCGCUCUCCGAUCCGACCUUGAGCGCCGCAAUUCAACGCGCGAUGGCUUUUAGAGACUGUUUUCUCUCUGAGGCGGUUCAAUCUCGGAGACACCCACCCACACAGACAAACACAUAUAUAUUUGCAAGUACUUGAGAUUAACUACAUCUGACAAUCAAGUACAUUAAUCAUCAAAGAUGACAGAAAGUCCAGUCUAUGCUGUGGUUGUUUAAGGGUCAUUUUAUGGAUAGAGUGAGCGGCACAGAAAACACAAACUAUGAUAAUUUAAAAGUCAAUGUAACUAGACUCUUCGCGACUUUGAAAUGCAAGUCCACCUUGCCUCGAAGGCAGAGCGUUUCCAUCCCAAUAAAGUAAUCACGGCUCUAAAUUUAUUUUUUUUUAAACUGAGCCAACCAGUGUCCACGUAACAGGUGAAUUACAAAAUUGACAGAACAGCUGCUUUGACUAACUGAUGUGAAAUUUGGCAUGAUGUCACACAGGGCAUCCACGUUUUAAUAUUGCUAUUCCAAUAUAUGUUUGGGUAUGUAUGUUUAUUGUUUUAAAUGUAGGAGGCACCAUUUGUGCGUUAAUAAUUUGGAUUAUUUCCCUUUGUUCAUCUCGUCUUUUUGGAGCUGCUGAUAGUGUUUCCACCCACACCUCUUAUUCGUCCACGCGUACAAAGAUCAGCCAAACAAUUUACAACUUCAGAGCAAAUGUUUAUCAUUCAUAUUCAUGAACAUUUUUAAUUGACUUCCAUCUAUCAUUAUUCCAUGCACAUAGCUGAUCAUUAGCAAGGCAGAAUCACCUGUUCCAAGUCCAACAAGUCCUUAUUUCUUUUCUUGCCCUCCCUCUUCGGAUCCAACAAGUGCUUUUUUCUUUCAUUCCCUCCCUCUUCGUUGAAGGGCAACACAGCACUUGAGCAGUGCUGCCGGCUCUGAUGGCGAGCUGAAUAGGAGGCGAAGAAUAUAACAAAAGAUUCAUAAAUGUGUCCAACUGGAAGCUCUGUUAAAUAGCAAGCAAGCGAGCGCACCACACUCCUACACAGCCGCGCACCAAAGCAAGAGCACCACACUCCUACACAGCCGCCCACACAUAAACACAAAACUACACACUAUUGCACAAAGUCAGAUGGCGAGGCACUAAGACGAACAAACACGUGAGUACAUGGACGAUGAUGGCCAGGGGCUGGUGUGGUUUCUCUUCAGUAGAUGCAUAUGGGGGGGCAGCAAAAAAGUGCACCAGAGGGCCAGGUUAUCUUCAUAUUUAUUCAUCUCGCCAUGCAUGAGGAGCAUCACACCGCGCGCUAUUCUCGGCCACAGCCUGCAGCCUGUAAACUGGCUCCCAAAAGAUGGCCCCGGUGAAGUCACCUUUAUGUUUGAGAGGAAAAAAAAAAAUCCACCGGGAAUGUGAGCAUCUUUUGGGAUUUGUGGAAUCGAUUGCUCUAUCAUGAAGAGAAAAUCCUGCUUGUUCUGUUUCCAAAUACGCAUCCAAAGGGAAUAUAAGCACCUUUUGAGAUUUGUAGAAUCGGUUGAUUCUAUCAUGAAGUGAAAAUAUUGCCCAGUUAAUAUAAUAAACUAAGCAAGUUUAUUACAGUUAACAAAAAGUAACGGUAAAACUAAAAUUGAAAGAACGAUUUCGUCAACAAAAUAAAAAUAAAAAAUGCUUGAAAAAAAUUAA
Long non-coding RNA from Syngnathus typhle (broad-nosed pipefish), 2149 nucleotides. RefSeq lists it as uncharacterized. Lineage: Eukaryota; Metazoa; Chordata; Actinopteri; Syngnathiformes; Syngnathidae. The record is from RefSeq and is a predicted model, not a curated record. The transcript has 3 exons.